RNAcentral lists this non-coding RNA (29 nucleotides) under Cricetulus griseus (Chinese hamster). The record is from RNAcentral. Lineage: Eukaryota; Metazoa; Chordata; Mammalia; Rodentia; Cricetidae.
UUUUGUGAUGCAUGUGAGCUGUUCUGACU